RNAcentral lists this unclassified non-coding RNA (253 nucleotides) under Hevea brasiliensis (rubber tree). Lineage: Eukaryota; Viridiplantae; Streptophyta; Magnoliopsida; Malpighiales; Euphorbiaceae. The record is from RNAcentral.
GCAAUAAGUCCUUCCCAGCUAGAGUUUUGUUUUUGUUCCCUUUUCUUAAGCUGUACAUUAUCCAUUUGGUAAAUAAAAACUUUAGUUUACCAAAAAAGAAAGUGCUUAUGAAAAUAAACAAUGUCAAACAAGCUCUUAUAUAGUAUAAUACAAUGAGGUUGUUUUUCAGCACUAUGUACAUUUCACUAAAAUCUAGUUUCAACAGCUGCAUUCACCCUCUUGCCAUUCUUUAGUUUGUCCAGAAGCUAUUCUU